Molecule: transfer RNA, 63 nt
Filed under: Candidatus Levyibacteriota bacterium
Lineage: Bacteria; Candidatus Levyibacteriota
Description: tRNA-Glu
Rfam family: tRNA
About the family: Transfer RNA (tRNA) molecules are approximately 80 nucleotides in length.
Source: RNAcentral
GGACUAGUGGCCUAGGACGCAACCUUCUCAAGGUUGAGAUCAUGGGUUCGACUCCCAUACGCG